Transfer RNA from Ipomoea nil (Japanese morning glory), 72 nucleotides. It matches the Rfam family "tRNA". From Rfam's summary of the family: Transfer RNA (tRNA) molecules are approximately 80 nucleotides in length. Their secondary structure includes four short double-helical elements and three loops (D, anti-codon, and T loops). The record is from Rfam. Lineage: Eukaryota; Viridiplantae; Streptophyta; Magnoliopsida; Solanales; Convolvulaceae.
GUACCAGUGGUCUAGUGGUAGAAUAGAACCCUGCCACGGUACGGACCCGGGUUCGAUUCUCUGGCUGGUGCA